RNAcentral lists this transfer RNA (17 nucleotides) under Vespa velutina velutina. RNAcentral describes it as "partial tRNA-Phe". The record is from RNAcentral. Lineage: Eukaryota; Metazoa; Arthropoda; Insecta; Hymenoptera; Vespidae.
AUAUUUGUUUUUAAAUA